This 2900-nucleotide ribosomal RNA is filed under the name Klebsiella pneumoniae. Its description in RNAcentral is "bacterial LSU rRNA". It matches the Rfam family "Bacterial large subunit ribosomal RNA". The record is from RNAcentral. Lineage: Bacteria; Pseudomonadati; Pseudomonadota; Gammaproteobacteria; Enterobacterales; Enterobacteriaceae.
UUAAGCGACUAAGCGUACACGGUGGAUGCCCUGGCAGUCAGAGGCGAUGAAGGACGUGCUAAUCUGCGAAAAGCGUCGGUAAGGUGAUAUGAACCGUUAUAACCGGCGAUGUCCGAAUGGGGAAACCCAGUGUGAUUCGUCACACUAUCGUUAACUGAAUACAUAGGUUAACGAGGCGAACCGGGGGAACUGAAACAUCUAAGUACCCCGAGGAAAAGAAAUCAACCGAGAUUCCCCCAGUAGCGGCGAGCGAACGGGGAGCAGCCCAGAGUCUGAAUCAGCUUGUGUGUUAGUGGAACGGUCUGGAAAGUCCGACGGUACAGGGUGAUAGUCCCGUACACCAAAAUGCACAGGUUGUGAACUCGAAGAGUAGGGCGGGACACGUGGUAUCCUGUCUGAAUAUGGGGGGACCAUCCUCCAAGGCUAAAUACUCCUGACUGACCGAUAGUGAACCAGUACCGUGAGGGAAAGGCGAAAAGAACCCCGGCGAGGGGAGUGAAAAAGAACCUGAAACCGUGUACGUACAAGCAGUGGGAGCACCUUCGGGUGUGACUGCGUACCUUUUGUAUAAUGGGUCAGCGACUUAUAUUCUGUAGCAAGGUUAACCGUAUAGGGGAGCCGCAGGGAAACCGAGUCUUAACUGGGCGUUAAGUUGCAGGGUAUAGACCCGAAACCCGGUGAUCUAGCCAUGGGCAGGUUGAAGGUUGGGUAACACUAACUGGAGGACCGAACCGACUAAUGUUGAAAAAUUAGCGGAUGACUUGUGGCUGGGGGUGAAAGGCCAAUCAAACCGGGAGAUAGCUGGUUCUCCCCGAAAGCUAUUUAGGUAGCGCCUCGUGAACUCAUCUUCGGGGGUAGAGCACUGUUUCGGCUAGGGGGUCAUCCCGACUUACCAACCCGAUGCAAACUACGAAUACCGAAGAAUGUUAUCACGGGAGACACACGGCGGGUGCUAACGUCCGUCGUGAAGAGGGAAACAACCCAGACCGCCAGCUAAGGUCCCAAAGUCAUGGUUAAGUGGGAAACGAUGUGGGAAGGCACAGACAGCCAGGAUGUUGGCUUAGAAGCAGCCAUCAUUUAAAGAAAGCGUAAUAGCUCACUGGUCGAGUCGGCCUGCGCGGAAGAUGUAACGGGGCUAAACCAUGCACCGAAGCUGCGGCAGCGACACUAUGUGUUGUUGGGUAGGGGAGCGUUCUGUAAGCCUGCGAAGGUGUGCUGUGAGGCAUGCUGGAGGUAUCAGAAGUGCGAAUGCUGACAUAAGUAACGAUAAAGCGGGUGAAAAGCCCGCUCGCCGGAAGACCAAGGGUUCCUGUCCAACGUUAAUCGGGGCAGGGUGAGUCGACCCCUAAGGCGAGGCCGAAAGGCGUAGUCGAUGGGAAACAGGUUAAUAUUCCUGUACUUGGUGUUACUGCGAAGGGGGGACGGAGAAGGCUAUGUUAGCCGGGCGACGGUUGUCCCGGUUUAAGCAUGUAGGCUGGUUAUCCAGGCAAAUCCGGAUAAUCAAGGCUGAGGUGUGAUGACGAGGCACUACGGUGCUGAAGUAACAAAUGCCCUGCUUCCAGGAAAAGCCUCUAAGCAUCAGGUAACAUCAAAUCGUACCCCAAACCGACACAGGUGGUCAGGUAGAGAAUACCAAGGCGCUUGAGAGAACUCGGGUGAAGGAACUAGGCAAAAUGGUGCCGUAACUUCGGGAGAAGGCACGCUGGUGUGUAGGUGAAGUCCCUGCGGAUGGAGCUGAGACCAGUCGAAGAUACCAGCUGGCUGCAACUGUUUAUUAAAAACACAGCACUGUGCAAACACGAAAGUGGACGUAUACGGUGUGACGCCUGCCCGGUGCCGGAAGGUUAAUUGAUGGGGUUAUCCGUAAGGAGAAGCUCUUGAUCGAAGCCCCGGUAAACGGCGGCCGUAACUAUAACGGUCCUAAGGUAGCGAAAUUCCUUGUCGGGUAAGUUCCGACCUGCACGAAUGGCGUAAUGAUGGCCAGGCUGUCUCCACCCGAGACUCAGUGAAAUUGAACUCGCUGUGAAGAUGCAGUGUACCCGCGGCAAGACGGAAAGACCCCGUGAACCUUUACUAUAGCUUGACACUGAACAUUGAGCCUUGAUGUGUAGGAUAGGUGGGAGGCUUUGAAGCGUGGACGCCAGUCUGCGUGGAGCCAACCUUGAAAUACCACCCUUUAAUGUUUGAUGUUCUAACGUUGGCCCCUGACCGGGGUUGCGGACAGUGUCUGGUGGGUAGUUUGACUGGGGCGGUCUCCUCCCAAAGCGUAACGGAGGAGCACGAAGGUUAGCUAAUCCUGGUCGGACAUCAGGAGGUUAGUGCAAUGGCAUAAGCUAGCUUGACUGCGAGCGUGACGGCGCGAGCAGGUGCGAAAGCAGGUCAUAGUGAUCCGGUGGUUCUGAAUGGAAGGGCCAUCGCUCAACGGAUAAAAGGUACUCCGGGGAUAACAGGCUGAUACCGCCCAAGAGUUCAUAUCGACGGCGGUGUUUGGCACCUCGAUGUCGGCUCAUCACAUCCUGGGGCUGAAGUAGGUCCCAAGGGUAUGGCUGUUCGCCAUUUAAAGUGGUACGCGAGCUGGGUUUAGAACGUCGUGAGACAGUUCGGUCCCUAUCUGCCGUGGGCGCUGGAGAAUUGAGGGGGGCUGCUCCUAGUACGAGAGGACCGGAGUGGACGCAUCACUGGUGUUCGGGUUGUCAUGCCAAUGGCACUGCCCGGUAGCUAAAUGCGGAAGAGAUAAGUGCUGAAAGCAUCUAAGCACGAAACUUGCCCCGAGAUGAGUUCUCCCUGAGACUUUAAGUCUCCUGAAGGAACGUUGAAGACGACGACGUUGAUAGGCCGGGUGUGUAAGCGCAGCGAUGCGUUGAGCUAACCGGUACUAAUGAACCGUGAGGCUUAACCUU